UGAGGAAUAUUGGUCAAUGGGCGAGAGCCUGAACCAGCCAAGUAGCGUGCAGGACGACGGCCCUAUGGGUUGUAAACUGCUUUUAUGUGGGGAUAAAGUGCGUGACGUGUCAUGCAUUGCAGGUACCACAUGAAUAAGGACCGGCUAAUUCCGUGCCAGCAGCCGCGGUAAUACGGAAGGUCCGGGCGUUAUCCGGAUUUAUUGGGUUUAAAGGGAGCGUAGGCUGUCUAUUAAGCGUGUUGUGAAAUAUACCGGCUCAACCGGUGGCUUGCAGCGCGAACUGGUCGACUUGAGUAUGCAGGAAGUAGGCGGAAUUCAUGUGUAGCGGUGAAAUGCUUAGAUAUCAUGACGAACUCCGAUUGCGCAGGCAGCUUACUGUAGCAUAACUGACGCUGAUGCUCGAAAGUGCGGGUAUCAAACAGG
Molecule: ribosomal RNA, 423 nt
Filed under: Verrucomicrobiota bacterium
Lineage: Bacteria; Pseudomonadati; Verrucomicrobiota
Description: Verrucomicrobia bacterium partial 16S ribosomal RNA
Rfam family: Bacterial small subunit ribosomal RNA
Source: RNAcentral